Molecule: unclassified non-coding RNA, 2092 nt
Filed under: Chelonus insularis
Lineage: Eukaryota; Metazoa; Arthropoda; Insecta; Hymenoptera; Braconidae
Description: uncharacterized LOC118064620, transcript variant X1
Source: RNAcentral
GUAAAUUACCGGUAAAAAACGCGUCAAUGACCAAGCCUGUUUUACCAUACCGGUCAGAAAAAUGCUGAUCUCUGAUUGGUUAAUACAUGUCCAAUCACAGUUUAGAAUUCCCAACGGCAUACAACUGUUUAUUUGUUCUAUCAGAUAAGGAUUUUCAUUGAGAACUUGGUGCAAUGGGGGAGAACAAAUCAAUAUAUAAACAUUUCUCUGCAUUACCUCUGCAACCUAACCAAAAAUUAAAAUCGUAUUCAUGUAACUAUUGCAAGAAAAAGUAUGCAGAAAACAUUACUCGCAUGCGAAAACAUCUUUAUAAAGAGUGUAGAAGUUGUCCUCAAGACUUACGGAAACUUUUAAAACCAUGUAAACCUCGUAAACGAAAUAAUUCUCAUCUAAACAGCACAGACGACUCAUUUACUAUUGAAGAUUUGAAUGAAGCAGACAAUAGAGCAAGUACUUCAAUGAUUUCAAAUGAAAAUUUACCAAAUAAUAUAAGUGUUUGUAGCAAUAACUAUAAAAAAAAUACAAUCGAUAGUUUUUGUGAUAAAAUGUCAAAAAAAGAUGAAGAUUCUCUACAAGAACUACUUGCAGAAGCGAUUUAUGCAUCUGGUACACCAUUAUGUAUAACAGAAAAUCCAUAUUGGCUAAAAUUUUUUAACGCAUUACGGCCUUCAUUUAAUUUGCCAUCAAGAAAUCAAAUAUCAAAUAAUCUUUUAGAUUCAGUAUUCGUUAGAACACAAAAUAUGGUUAAUGAAAAAAUUGAAUCUGCUACUACUGUUGGAGUGCAAUGUGACGCAUGGUCUAAUAUUCGCAAAGAAGGAAUCAUCAAUUUUAUUGUAACAACCCCAGCGCCAGUUUUUUUCAAAACAUUUCCAACUGGAACCGAAUCACAAACUGCCUUAUAUAUUUCUGAAAAAAUAGGAAGUGUUAUUGAUGCUUUGGGAAUUAAAAAAGUUAUCGGAAUUUGUACAGAUAAUUGUGCUGCAAUGAAAAGUGCUUGGACUUUGAUAGAUCAAAAGUAUAAUGUCGACAAAUUGUAUUGUUAUGGUUGUGCUGCUCACAUUCUUAACCUACUCAUGAAAGAUAUUGGUAGUCAAGCAACUGUUGAAACUUUGGUGACAAGUGCAACAGCUAUUGUAAAAGGAAUAAAAGAAGUACAAAUAAUGUCAGCGAUUUUCAAAGAAAUUCAAUCUCAAGAUGAACGUAGAGUAUUUAUUACCUUAAAAUUACCAGCUAAGACAAGAUUUGGAUCUACUAUAAUUAUGAUUGACAGUCUUUGUGUUAAUAAGCAUAAUCUUCAGGCUUUAGCAAUUUCUUCAAAGGCUAUUACAUUAUGGAAACCUGCUUCUCGUGCUCUUGUACUAAAUGAAGAAUUUUGGAAUAAUCUUCAACAAAUUCUUCAAUUGAUGAAACCGAUUGUAAAGUGGAUAAAUAUUUUAGAGGGUGAUAACCCUUUAAUAAAUAAAGUACCUGAAUGUUUUUAUGAUUUAUAUAAUCAUUUUAAUAAUGCAUUUAAUAAUAUACUUGUUUAGAAAAUCGUAAAACUAUGGCUCUACGGCCCAUACAUUAUGCAGCUAACUUACUUGAUCCUCAAUUAAAAGGAAAAAAUUUAAAUAGAUUUAACAGAUUAUGUGUCAGAAUCAAGUAUGUGGAGUUACGACUACGUUAAGCGAGCAAGUAUAAUCACUUCAGCAUGUCAAUGGUGGCAAAGUAUUUGCCAAAAAUCUUCGUUGAGCAAAAUAGCUGUGGCUAUAUUGACUUUACCUGCAACAUCAGCUGCAACCGAGCGUUCCUUUAGUACACAAGGAUGGAUUCAUUCAUCUAAAAGAAAUAAGUUAAGUAUCGAUAGAGCUGGAAAAAUAACAUACAUUGCAAGAAAUUUAAAAUUACUUAAUCCUUCACUAAAAAAUACAGAAGAAGAAUGGGAAGAAGAUGAGGAAAGUAAUAAAGGAGAGGAUGAAAUAAGUGAAAUUUGUGCUGAGCAUGAAGAAGUUGAAUUUUUAGAAGAAGAAUUUACUCAAGACUAAUUAGUGAUGUUGAUGGAAUUGAAUCAGUAUUAGACUUGUUAUUUCCUAAUGAAAUAUGUCAAUUAUUA